GACGUAGGGCGCGAGCGUUGUCCGGAUUUAUUGGGCGUAAAGAGCGUGUAGGCGGCCAGGUAGGUCUGCUGUGAAAACUCGAGGCUUAACCUCGAGAUGUCGGCGGAAACCAUCUGGCUAGAGUCCGGAAGAGGAGAGUGGAAUUCCUGGUGUAGCGGUGAAAUGCGCAGAUAUCAGGAAGAACACCCGUGGCGAAGGCGGCUCUCUGGGACGGUACUGACGCUGAGACGCGAAAGCGUGGGGAGCGAACAGG
RNAcentral lists this ribosomal RNA (253 nucleotides) under uncultured bacterium. Its description in RNAcentral is "partial 16S ribosomal RNA". It matches the Rfam family "Bacterial small subunit ribosomal RNA", at positions 524 to 776 of the family's 1533-position model. The record is from RNAcentral.